CAUCUUUAGAAGCACAUAUGCUGCUGACGGGGUCUGUUGUACUUUCACUCGCUCUUCAAAUGAGAGUGCUGCUUUCUCCAUGCUGUACGGGCAGACUGAAGGGGAGAGAGGUGUAUCCCAAAAAAGUUUAAUUGUGCUCUGUGUGUUUCUGCAGAAUAAAACAUCUUGAGACUUCCUCCACCCGCAUUGUCUUUAUUGAGAAUAACAAAACACAACCAGAGUAAAUCU
Long non-coding RNA from Sinocyclocheilus grahami, 228 nucleotides. RefSeq lists it as uncharacterized. NCBI's taxonomy places the organism in Eukaryota, Metazoa, Chordata, Actinopteri, Cypriniformes, Cyprinidae. The record is from RefSeq and is a predicted model, not a curated record. The transcript is spliced from 3 exons.